GAUGAACGCUGGCGGCGUGCCUAAUACAUGCAAGUCGAGCGAACAGACGAGGAGCUUGCUCCUCUGACGUUAGCGGCGGACGGGUGAGUAACACGUGGAUAACCUACCUAUAAGACUGGGAUAACUGCGGGAAACCGGAGCUAAUACCGGAUAAUAUAUUGAACCGCAUGGUUCAAUAGUGAAAGACGGUUUUGCUGUCACUUAUAGAUGGAUCCGCGCCGCAUUAGCUAGUUGGUAAGGUAACGGCUUACCAAGGCAACGAUGCGUAGCCGACCUGAGAGGGUGAUCGGCCACACUGGAACUGAGACACGGUCCAGACUCCUACGGGAGGCAGCAGUAGGGAAUCUUCCGCAAUGGGCGAAAGCCUGACGGAGCAACGCCGCGUGAGUGAUGAAGGUCUUCGGAUCGUAAAACUCUGUUAUUAGGGAAGAACAAAUGUGUAAGUAACUAUGCACGUCUUGACGGUACCUAAACAGAAAGCCACGGCUAACUACGUG
This 497-nucleotide ribosomal RNA is filed under the name uncultured bacterium. Its description in RNAcentral is "partial 16S ribosomal RNA". It matches the Rfam family "Bacterial small subunit ribosomal RNA", at positions 28 to 507 of the family's 1533-position model. The record is from RNAcentral.